This 438-nucleotide ribosomal RNA is filed under the name Glutinoglossum heptaseptatum. RNAcentral's name for it is "eukaryotic LSU rRNA". It matches the Rfam family "Eukaryotic large subunit ribosomal RNA", at positions 69 to 507 of the family's 3401-position model. Lineage: Eukaryota; Fungi; Ascomycota; Geoglossomycetes; Geoglossales; Geoglossaceae. The record is from RNAcentral.
CAGGGAUUGCCUCAGUAACGGCGAGUGAAGCGGCAACAGCUCAAAUUUGAAAUCUGGCUUCUUUCAGGGCCCGAGUUGUAAUUUGUAGAGGAUGCCUUCGGGUGUGGCCCCGGCCUANGUUCCUUGGAACAGGACGUCACAGAGGGUGAGAAUCCCGUAUGUGGCUGGAGGUCUAUACCCAUGUGAAGCUCCUUCGACGAGUCGAGUUGUUUGGGAAUGCAGCUCAAAAUGGGUGGUAAGUUUCAUCUAAAGCUAAAUACUGGCGGGAGACCGAUAGCGCACAAGUAGAGUGAUCGAAAGAUGAAAAGCACUUUGGAAAGAGAGUUAAAAAGUACGUGAAAUUGUUGAAAGGGAAGCGCUUGCGACCAGACUUGCCCUCGGUUGAUCAACCGGUGUUCUUCACCGGUGCACUCGGCUGGGGUCAGGCCAGCAUCAGUU